RNAcentral lists this unclassified non-coding RNA (222 nucleotides) under plant metagenome. Its description in RNAcentral is "partial contains small subunit ribosomal RNA, internal transcribed spacer 1, and 5.8S ribosomal RNA". The record is from RNAcentral.
UUUCCGUAGGUGAACCUGCGGAAGGAUCAUCAAAGAACAACGUUCUUUCUUUAACCACCCCUUUUUUGCAAUUUGUGUGGGCGUUUGGGAAAAAGUGAAAUUUUUUCACUCUUUUUCGACUCCCACACCUUUUUUUAGAAAAUAAGACCUCCUUUUUUAAACUUCCAAUAUACCAAAAUACAUAACCAAAGACAACUUUCAACAACGGAUCUCUUGGCUCUG